Molecule: ribosomal RNA, 497 nt
Filed under: uncultured bacterium
Lineage: Bacteria
Description: partial 16S ribosomal RNA
Rfam family: Bacterial small subunit ribosomal RNA
Source: RNAcentral
GAUGAACGCUGGCGGCGUGCCUAAUACAUGCAAGUCGAGCGAACAGACGAGGAGCUUGCUCCUCUGACGUUAGCGGAGGACGGGUGAGUAACACGUGGAUAACCUACCUAUAAGACUGGGAUAACUUCGGGAAACCGGCGCUAAUACCGGAUAAUAUAUUGAACCGCAUGGUUCAAUAGUGAAAGACGGUUUUGCUGUCACUUAUAGAUGGAUCCGCGCCGGAUUAGCUAGUUGGUAAGGUAAAGGCUUACCAAGGCAACGAUGCGUAGCCGAGCUGAGAGGGUGAUCGGCCACCCUGGAACUGAGACACGGUCCAGACUCCUACGGGAGGCAGCAGUAGGGAAUCUUCCGCAAUGGGCGAAAGCUUGACGGAGCAACGCCGCGUGAGUGAUGAAGGUCUUCGGAUCGUAAAACUCUGUUAUUAGGGAAGAACAAAUGUGUAAGUAACUAUGCACGUCUUGACGGUACCUAAUCAGAAAGCCACGGCUAACUACGUG